This 874-nucleotide long non-coding RNA is filed under the name Ananas comosus (pineapple). RNAcentral describes it as "long non-coding RNA (ACOM_LNC030680)". The record is from RNAcentral. Lineage: Eukaryota; Viridiplantae; Streptophyta; Magnoliopsida; Poales; Bromeliaceae.
AGUUUGGAUCCGGAAAGGUGAUAUCUUUCCUUGUUCUUCUUCUUAGUUUGUUUUCAUAUAUAUGUAAUGCUUUGUUUGGUGCUCAUUGCAUAUUUUUAUUCAUUGCGUUACAUGUUUAAACAAUUUUUGGUGCUUGAAAUUUAUUUUUGAAAUUGAUUUUUAAAAUCGGUUUGGAAGAAGAUGAUCGGGAAUUAAAUUUUUUUUUGGAAAGGCGAUGUUUUAAAAUCAUUAAUUUGGGGAGAUUAAAUUUUUUCAAAGUGCCUUAACCGGUAUUUAAAUUCACAUUCAUAUUAAGUUAAAUUCAUAUUAAUUAUCGGUUUUACUCCAUUUUUUAUUAUUUUGACGAUAAUUUAAUAUAUGAUUUCUUAGUAUAUCUAUUCAUCAAGAUUUUGGAAUCAAAUUUGAUCUCUUGGCGAUUAAUUUAUCUUGGUUGUGUGUGUUGAAUAUGAUGAAUAGUUAUUUGCUAAUGGACUAAAAAUUGUCAUAUUUUCUUUCAAGUGUGAGAUUGUCUAAUUUAGGGGGAGUUUGAUUAUUAAAAAAAAAAAUGGAGAAACUCCUAUGUUUAAAAGAUGUGGAAAGAGUUACAUCCAAAAGGAGUGUGAAAACUACCACUACAUGUAGGAAAGAGCUACCACCCCGGUUGUCAGAUAAGUGUGUGAAGCUACCACAUGAAAAUUGAUUGAUUAACCGGAAAAAAAAAUGAAUAUUUUAGAUUUUUCGGAGUUAUAAGGUGAUAAGAUGAAAAAGAUGCUCAAAGAGCCACCCCCGGUGUUUUAUUAGUUAAAUCUCUAUUUUGAAUGUUUUGCGAUAAAUUGGCGUCAAUUUUGCCGAAUUUCUUUAAAUCAUUUUCCAUGAACCAUUACAUCUUGAUGUU